CAGUCGCCACGGUAAUACGUAGGGUGCAAGCGUUAAUCGGAAUUACUGGGCGUAAAGCGUGCGCAGGCGGUUAUAUAAGACAGAUGUGAAAUCCCCGGGCUCAACCUGGGAACUGCAUUUGUGACUGUAUAGCUAAAGUACGGCAGAGGGGGAUGGAAUUCCGCGUGUAGCAGUGAAAUGCGUAGAUAUGCGGAGGAACACCGAUGGCGAAGGCAAUCCCCUGGGCCUGUACUGACGCUCAUGCACGAAAGCGUGGGGAGCAAACAGGAUUAGAUACCCCAGUAGUCCCUGUCUCUUAUAC
This 301-nucleotide ribosomal RNA is filed under the name uncultured bacterium. Its description in RNAcentral is "partial 16S ribosomal RNA". It matches the Rfam family "Bacterial small subunit ribosomal RNA", at positions 509 to 807 of the family's 1533-position model. The record is from RNAcentral.